This 1098-nucleotide long non-coding RNA is filed under the name Mytilus galloprovincialis (Mediterranean mussel). Lineage: Eukaryota; Metazoa; Mollusca; Bivalvia; Mytilida; Mytilidae. The record is from RNAcentral.
UUUUCUCUUCUUUAUCAAUUACAAUGCGUCAUCUUCAUGAUCACUUAGGUUUGGACCUUUGAGAUUAACAAAUUUUUCCAAAUACAAACUUACUGUAUUAUCUCCGGUAUAUCCCGUUAAAAACUUUUAUGACCAGUUUGCAAUUGACUUGAUGUAAUGGAGAAAGCUCGAUGAUGUACAUUUAGGUAAUUUACUGCACCAUAAAACAGUUAAAUUCAAGCAAGAACCUCUCUGGCUUAAUGAUUAGACUACCCCUAUCAUAUCUUUUACAUAUACCACACAUCUUGUAAGCAAACAAUUAUUUUAACACGAGUUACAUGUACUUACUGAUCAUUAUAUUAACAAAUUCAAGUUUAAACAUCCUGAUUGGACCUAUGCUAGUUCACCACUUAUAUAUAAUUCGAUAAACAACCAUACUUCACUGGGAAAAUGUUUAUUCAAACUGAAAGAACCGAUAUAUGGUGUGCCUUUAUUUUCAUAAAUGGAUACCACAACACGAAAACACUAUGUAUGCCAGGCAAUGGACUUACCGCAAAAAGAAAAAGAUGUUGAUACUCUUUCUGAAUAAAAUAAAACUGUAUUAUACUGCCGUUGUGAUAAUUAGACAAAGAAAAAAAACAUUGAAUAGUUCUAUGACCCUUCAUGCUACAUUAUUUUUGAAAGACCAAAUGUAAGUAAGCACAUUUCUGACCCCAGGAAAAAUACAUUGUUGUGUUAGGUUUGGUGGAAUAUCAUUUCACUUGGGGUAGCAAUACACAGUUAGAAGUUUAGUUUCGAUGGCCCCUGUGAGUUUUUUAAAUAUGAAAGUUUUUGUACAAUAAAAUUGAUUUUUAGAUAAUUGAAGAAUACUAUGCAUAUGAUUUUUUUUACCACUUCAUAGAUAUAAACCUAUGGUUUCAGGAAAGGUAUCACUGUAAUUGAUUGAAAUUUUACUUUGGACCAAAUUUUGGAGACUUUUGUGACAUGUUCACUCCCCUUUUUUGCUAUAUUUUGUAUCAAAGAAAUGCAGAUUGUUGCCAUGGUUACACCCAAAAGGGGAUAUAUUUCACCAUUAUGACCAUUAGAAAUCAAAUCUAUGGAAGAUUCUCUUUCUAUAGA